This 23-nucleotide microRNA is filed under the name Hippoglossus hippoglossus (Atlantic halibut). RNAcentral's name for it is "hhi-miR-7791". Lineage: Eukaryota; Metazoa; Chordata; Actinopteri; Pleuronectiformes; Pleuronectidae. The record is from miRBase by way of RNAcentral.
UUCUUAACUUAACUGGCAGCCAC